RNAcentral lists this ribosomal RNA (502 nucleotides) under Fusarium oxysporum. Its description in RNAcentral is "eukaryotic LSU rRNA". The stretch from base 147 to 300 matches the Rfam family "5.8S ribosomal RNA". Lineage: Eukaryota; Fungi; Ascomycota; Sordariomycetes; Hypocreales; Nectriaceae. The record is from RNAcentral.
GAGUUUACAACUCCCAAACCCCUGUGAACAUACCACUUGUUGCCUCGGCGGAUCAGCCCGCUCCCGGUAAAACGGGACGGCCCGCCAGAGGACCCCUAAACUCUGUUUCUAUAUGUAACUUCUGAGUAAAACCAUAAAUAAAUCAAAACUUUCAACAACGGAUCUCUUGGUUCUGGCAUCGAUGAAGAACGCAGCAAAAUGCGAUAAGUAAUGUGAAUUGCAGAAUUCAGUGAAUCAUCGAAUCUUUGAACGCACAUUGCGCCCGCCAGUAUUCUGGCGGGCAUGCCUGUUCGAGCGUCAUUUCAACCCUCAAGCACAGCUUGGUGUUGGGACUCGCGUUAAUUCGCGUUCCUCAAAUUGAUUGGCGGUCACGUCGAGCUUCCAUAGCGUAGUAGUAAAACCCUCGUUACUGGUAAUCGUCGCGGCCACGCCGUUAAACCCCAACUUCUGAAUGUUGACCUCGGAUCAGGUAGGAAUACCCGCUGAACUUAAGCAUAUCAAU